This 468-nucleotide ribosomal RNA is filed under the name uncultured bacterium. RNAcentral's name for it is "partial 16S ribosomal RNA". It matches the Rfam family "Bacterial small subunit ribosomal RNA", at positions 28 to 507 of the family's 1533-position model. The record is from RNAcentral.
GACGAACGCUGGCGGCGUGCUUAACACAUGCAAGUCGAACGGAAAGGCCCUGCUUUUGUGGGGUGCUCGAGUGGCGAACGGGUGAGUAACACGUGAGUAACCUGCCCUUGACUUUGGGAUAACUUCAGGAAACUGGGGCUAAUACCGGAUAGGAGCUCCUGCUGCAUGGCGGGGGUUGGAAAGUUUCGGCGGUUGGGGAUGGACUCGCGGCUUAUCAGCUUGUUGGUGGGGUAGUGGCUUACCAAGGCUUUGACGGGUAGCCGGCCUGAGAGGGUGACCGGCCACAUUGGGACUGAGAUACGGCCCAGACUCCUACGGGAGGCAGCAGUGGGGAAUAUUGCAAAAUGGGCGGAAGCCUGAUGCAGCAACGCCGCGUGCGGGAUGACGGCCUUCGGGUUGUAAACCGCUUUCGCCUGUGACGAAGCGUGAGUGACGGUAAUGGGUAAAGAAGCACCGGCUAACUACGUG